UACGUAGGGAGCGAGCGUUGUCCGGAAUUACUGGGUGUAAAGGGAGCGUAGGCGGGACGGCAAGUUGAAUGUGAAAUGCAUGGGCUUAACCCAUGAGCUGCGUUCAAAACUGUCGUUCUUGAGUGAAGUAGAGGCAGGCGGAAUUCCUAGUGUAGCGGUGAAAUGCGUAGAUAUUAGGAGGAACACCAGUGGCGAAGGCGGCCUGCUGGGCUUUAACUGACGCUGAGGCUCGAAAGCAUGGGGAGCAAACAGGAUUAGAUACCCUGGUAGUCCAUGCCGUAAACGAUGAUUACUAGGUGUGGGGGGACUGACCCCUUCCGUGCCGCAGUUAACACAAUAAGUAAUCCACCUGGGGAGUACGGCCGCAAGGUUGAA
RNAcentral lists this ribosomal RNA (375 nucleotides) under uncultured bacterium. RNAcentral's name for it is "bacterial SSU rRNA". It matches the Rfam family "Bacterial small subunit ribosomal RNA", at positions 524 to 898 of the family's 1533-position model. The record is from RNAcentral.